UGUUACUUUGAUUCGUAAGGAAAAAGUAAAGAACUAGAAACUAAUUACUAGUGCUCUAGUGCUUUCUAAGUCCCUUAAGUUCUAAUAAAGAAGUUCUUCUUAUUAUUACACCAACAUCACCAUACCUCAUAAGAUGAAUCGGGAGCUAGUCGAAAACGAAUAUAAGGAUAUAGUCUAUGAUAGGCCCGGUCACAGAUUAUCGCGUUGAAUUCAUACAAGAGAAUUUUAAAAGAUCUAACAAUGACUAUAGAACCCACAAUACACCGAAUUUGAUCGCUUUGGCGACCUUGGCUAGAUCAAACAGGUUUAUCAUGAAAACGGUGAAUAACUUCGAAUAAAGUUGCUGCUACUACAAAAACUACAUUAAAACAAAAAAUUUCUGGUAAUCUAACAACAAUGUCAGCCUCGAAAUCCAGCGCAGAAUCACUCUUGCCAACAGGUGCUACUUUGGACUGAGUAGGCAAUUGAAAAGUAAAGUCCUCUCUCGGCGAACCAAAAUCAAACUCUACAAGUUAAGCUUAUCAUUCCCGUCCUGCUUUAUGGUGCAGAAGCUUGGACGAUGUCAACAUCAGAUGAGACGACACUAGGAGUUUUCGAGAGGAAAAUUUUGCGCAAGAUUUAUGGUCCUCAGAACAUUGGCAACGGCGAAAACCGCAGACGAUGGAACGAUGAGCUGUACCAGUUAUACGACGACAUUGACAUAGUUCAGCGAAUAAAUAGACAGCGGCUACGCUGCUAGGUCAUGUUGUACGAAUGGACGAAAACACUCCAGCUCUGAAAGUGUUCGAUUCAGUACCCGCCGGAGGAAGCCGAGGAAGGGGAAGGCCUCCACUCCGUUGGAGGGACCAGGUGGAGAGCGACCUGGUUACACUUGGAAUCUCCAACUGGCGCCGAACUGCGAAGGAAAGAGAGGAGUGGCGCAUUAUCAUCGAUUCGGCUAUAACCGGCUAAACGAUUCAACGCCAAUCACAUAGAUACAUACAAUCUAACAAUACUUAUCAAAAAGCCUGUCUUUAAACCUGAACUUAAUACCUUUUUAGAGCUUACAAUUUCACUUUUUUACUCCAAUUCCAUCGUCCAUUCCAGAAAACACAAAUAAUUUGAAUAAGUUAUGAAUUUUUAUUUUCUUAUUUAUAUUAUUCACGACUUUUUUUUAGUUUAUUAAUGAUUUCACUGAAACAUCGAUACCAUUUGGGGUACUAAUAUAGUAUUCAGUACUUAGGUUAUUUUUUUCAUAAUUUUUUUCAUAUUUUUCAAUUUAUACAUAUACAUAUCGAUUUGUUGAAUGUAUGUAAGGUUGUAUGUUUACGUGUAGAAACAGCUAUUGACUUAAAGGAUUUUAGAUUUUGUUUGUUGCUUCUCGCUUUUCUUUUCUUUUGGGGAAUUUUGUGAAAACGUUGCAGCUACUAAGAGAUAUCGGUGUAGACAGUUGUUGACUUUCCAUCAAUGCAAUGUAAAAAUGUAUGUAUGUGUGCAGUUAUUUUAAAUAUAUAUAUAAAUAUAUUUAUAUAUAUAUAUGAGUGUGUGGCUGUGUGUAUGUAUGUAUAUCGCUUCAUAAUCUCCAAUGCAUUUGUAUGCAUUUAUAUAUGUAUGUAUGUAUGUAUAAUAUGUAUUUAUGUAUGUAUAUAAAACUUCAUUGUAUUACAAUUCUUUAAAACAAUUACAAUAUUUCAUUUACUUAAUAUUUCGUUAAUUAGCGCUACUAACUACACACACACUUUGACGUUUGCUAUUACAAUAGAUAAUUCAUUUUUAUUAGUACAUACAAUAUAUAAUGAUAUUUUCUGUUUUUUUUUUUUUUUAUUUAUUAUUAAUUGUUAAGUAUUCAAUAUUGUAUUUCUUGCGCUUUAAAUUCAUUUCAAUGGCCACGUUUGUGGGAUGGUGCGACACAGUCGCUUUGUGACGACGUUCUUUUUUGGUUUGUUUAACUUUUGUAAGCAAUUCGAAUCCCGAUUUUUUCAUGAAUUUGCUGUUUAAUUUUUUAUUUUUUAUUUAUUUAGUAUUAAUGUAUGUGUAUAUGUACGCUUUAUUUAUAGGCUAAAAAGCUGUUGCUGCCGGUAGGUAUUAUUUUCCAUUAUAAAGUCGGUAUUUAAAAAGCUUUUUAAAAUAUAUAUUUUUCUAUUGUAUGUUUUGGCCGUUUGCCUCAAUCGUAAACACGCUGCUGAUUUUUUUUUUUUGAAAAAAAAAACACUUUCUGCUGAGUUAAAGAAGAAAUGAUGAAUUUUAAACGGAAACAAAAUUCGAAAAAUAUUGUGUUUUGAACCAAAUUUAGUAGUUAAUUUAAAAAUCCUUGUUUACAAAUAGAAAAUUGUUUACCGCUGAAGACCAACAACAUCAUUUUAUAAAUUUAAGCACUUAAAGAUUAUUUUAUAAUAUAAUAUUAACAAUACAUACAAAAUAUUUAAUUAUAGAACAUAUACUCGUACAUAUAUUUACUUUUUUUAUAUAAUAUAUAGAAUUCGUUUGCAAUGCCAAGUGUUAUAACAGUUAUUACAGCGAUAUUAAAAUAAGAAAUAUAUAUUUUAUUUUUUUUACAGCGAUAUAUAUAUUUGACAAACAUAAAUUGUACCCUAGUAAACCUAAAAUAUUUCUACACAAAUUUGAGCAAGUAUUAAGUGGAACCCUUUGGUCCGAAAAUAUGGAUCAUACAAAUUGCAGUUAGACUCCACAUACGUUCCACAGAAAGUAACAGAGCUUAAUUUUUCUUUGCAUUGUUUACUGAAUAUACAAAUUUAAAACACAUAAUUAAACAAAUAUUUACAAUUAAAAUUUGUGCGAAAAUUUUGAAGAAUUUAUAAAUAUUUAUCAACAUUGACUCAAACACGUAUGUAAUUCUACAGAUUGUAACACAAAUGUAUAGUUUUUUACUUGAAAAUUGCAAUAAAAAUAUUUUCUUGAUCUCUUCUAGAGUGCAUACUACUUGAAAUGUUACAAAAAAAAAAUAUUAAAAAAAUAUAAUAAAAGUAAUAUAUAAAAAAAAAAUAAAAAAAAAUUUAAAAAUAAAAAAAUAUAAUAAAAAAAUGUAAACAAAAAUAUAAAAAAAUUUUAAAAUACAGUUGAACUUCAAGCUUCCUUAACUCGAAGUUCUCCAUAACUCGAACUCUAGAAUUGGCAAUAGAAGUCAAAUUUCAUACAAAUUUCCUACCAUAAAUCUAUCUUUUCGAUCAGGACAUCAUUUUUUUGUGGAUUAUGGUGAUUCGAGUUAGGGAAGUACAACUGUAUUAAAAAUAGCAAAUUAUUUGUAUGCACUUAUUUCCAAAAUAGAAUCUAUUAUUUAUAUUCCAAAACCUUCACCCUCAAAAUAUUCAAAUAUUCUUUAGAGUUCUCAACAGCAACCAAAUAACCUUUUCAAAUGCAUAAAAUUUCAUAAAACUGAUCUUCAACUAAAUCUUUAGAAUACUAACAUUGAUACAGCUUAGCAUUUUUACUAUUUUCAUAAAUUGAAAUAUGUAACGGAUAUACAGAUUUUGAAAUUUAAUUUUCAAUAUUGUACAACGUUAAGAAUACUCCGGCAAACGCGUAGAUAUCCAAGGAAUUAAGUAGUGACUCAAAUUUGUUUUUGCUAAUUACAUUAUAUGGCAAAAUCGAUUUUUUUCUGGUAUUGUACCGGACUCACGUUUUUUCUGGAGAAUAUAUGGAUUCGAAGUUCGAAAAAACGACUUUUUAAAAAUAGUAUUAUUAAUACAUUUUUCUGUUAAUUCAAUGGUGUAUAAAACUUUUCCGCCAAGCUUAUCUAACAGAUGCUAGGAAAGGUCAAAGUUUGAUCUUCGAAAAACAAAAAUUGUAUAUCGAAAAAUACUGGACCCCUUAUAACAUCUGUCAUUUAAGCUUUAAUUAAGAACAAAUUUAGAUUAUAUCUAUAUUUUGGAUUUUUUAGUAUCUAUAUUCUGUAAGUAAUAAUAAUUUUUUAGUCAUUUUUGCGAACUUCGAAGGCAAAUAUUUCGAUUUUGAAGGCUAACUUCGAAAAUCGGAGAGUACACAUUUUUUACUUAUGACUCAAUCUCCCGGAAAAAGUGAGUUUGGUUCAAUACUCAGCAGAGUGUUGCACAGUAUUAUUUAUUAUUGCGUUUUCUAAAGAACUCAGCUGUUUAUAGAGUGCACUACAUCGAAAAUCCUUAGCUAACUGCUAGCAAAUUAGAAACUACAGGAAUGUUUGUGUAUUUUGUGUGUGCAAUGCGUUGUGACAUACAAAUCAAAUUUUUAUUUUACAAAUUUUGAUGAUUACAUUUAGAUUAGCGCCAACAGUUCAGCUACAUAUAUAAUAUAAAUACUUUUCACGGUUCUCGUAAUUGUGCUGUGUAUGUGUGUGUGUGUGGGUAUGUAUGUAUGUGUGUGUGUGUUUUAAAAUGCAGCAAGUUUCUUUCGUUUUAAUUUGUUAAUUUUCUUCAUUCCACUCCACUCCACUCUCUCUUAAUCCUUCAACAGGUAUACAAUUAUUAUUUGUAUUUUUACAAUUAAAGCUUAUAUUGUUGCUGUGGCAUAUAUGUAUGUACAUCAACAACAUCAAUAUGUACUACCUUUGUUAUCAACAUAUUUAAAUAAAUAUAUUUAAAAGCCGUUAAAAAAGGAUUUUUUCUUUUAUAAAAUUGCAAACCUUUGUAGCUCAUACAUAUAUAAAAAAUAAACACGCGUAUUUUCGUAAGUUUAUAAGCAUAUAUGCAUGUAGUAUGUACGUAAUAGCACUAAAAUAAAAUUCCAUAAUAAUAUAAAGAAAAAUAUAAUAUGUUAAAAAGUAGUAAAUACAUUUAAAAUGCAUGUUUUUAGCUUUUUGCUUUUUGCGCGAUGACAGUUUCGUUUUUCGUUAUUUGCUUCUACACGACUCUUAAUCUCAAUUAUUCAAAAAUUUGACCAAAAUGCCUUAGUUCAGUUUCAGUAUCAGCAGUAGUAACAAUUUAGCAAUAUCCAAUAUCAUUCAAAUUUUACUUUUGGGAUGUUAAACAUCCAUUUUGCACAAUUAUUACGCUUUCAACUUACAUUACUAAACUUAGUUACUAAGAAAUAUUCAAUUUAAUUCCACAACUUUACAAAAUAACUUUGUUUCUACUUGGCAAACGACUCGUACAUGUGUAUGUAAUUAAAAAAAAAAAAUCAAAAAACCAAAAAUAAAGAAAUUGGCAAUUAUAAGGAUACAAAUUUGCAAAAUGCAGACAUCAGUGCGCACUUCGCAACACACAUAUAUAUAUGGAUCCAUUUUACGUAUACCAAACCAAUUUAUAUGUUACUUUUAAGCAUUCUAAAUGAUCAAUGUCGGCUCAACGCAGCGCCAUGACAGCUGUUCCUUUGUCUAGGCCUCAGUUUCGGCGCCCUUUAGCCGGAGCCGUGCGAAAUCCUCAAAGAUAAUGUCAUCAUCUUGUGAAUCAUCCUCGUCCAAUUGUAUCAAAUUGGUUGUGGGCACCUCUUCGGGCUGCGCCUCGCUAACACCAUUGCCGGUACCAACAGCUUCCAAUGACAAGCCACCAUCACGUAGGCUCUGACGCGGCGACUUAUCCAUUAAUAGUGGAUUAUCCUCCUCUUCUGGCUUGGGAUGCAUCAACGUGAAUGGCAAUUCAGCGACCAAAUCAUUGCCCAUUAAAGCGCCACUGAUGAGCAGUUUAACUUUCACCUUGUAGUGUACAAUGAUGCCAAGACUUUCGCGUUGUGCCGGAUUCGUUAUGAGCGUGCUGGACGCCAGAUUUGUAUCCUCGUGCUUCAACUGGCCGUCGAGCGCGAGUCCCCACUUGUCCUUGUUGUCGGCAAGCAGUGGACACAGUUCGAACACUUUCGACAGCGUAAAACCGGGCAGCACCUGACAACCGUCCUCCGAUUCGGUUUCCGCCACCACCGACUUGUACUGCGCCGUCGAGAAAAGGCAAAUGUCGGCGAAUUGACGGACACAAACUUUAAUCUUCUUUACGUUGCGAUUCGAAUUGUUGGCUAUAUGCACAUUGACGGAUAUCUUCUCACCAUGAUGAUAGAGCUCCUUAUCCAAACUGGCUUCUAGGUGGAUUUUAUUCGGUUUCAACAGAAACUCUUUGCUCACUUCGAUGGAUGGCUGCUCGCCCACCUUGGACGGUGCGUACAUAACCUUGCGUAUGGUCAAACGGACAGAGUUGCGUUUAUGCGGUUUAUCAUCGAUGUGUUCGCC
Molecule: long non-coding RNA, 6124 nt
Organism: Zeugodacus cucurbitae (melon fly)
Lineage: Eukaryota; Metazoa; Arthropoda; Insecta; Diptera; Tephritidae
Exons: 2
Source: RefSeq, a predicted model, not a curated record